This 515-nucleotide ribosomal RNA is filed under the name uncultured bacterium. Its description in RNAcentral is "bacterial SSU rRNA". It matches the Rfam family "Bacterial small subunit ribosomal RNA", at positions 40 to 507 of the family's 1533-position model. The record is from RNAcentral.
CGGGCGUGCCUAAUACAUGCAAGUCGAACGCAUUUGUGGUUGAAAUGAUAUGAAGAACUUGUUCAGAUUUGAUUUUCAACAUUGCAAUGAGUGGCGAACGGGUGAGUAACACGUGGGAAACCUACCUCUUAGCAGGGGAUAACAUUUGGAAACAAAUGCUAAUACCGUAUAAUAAUUAAAACCGCAUGGUUUUAGUUUAAAAGAUGGUCUUGCUAUCACUAAGAGAUGGUCCCGCGGUGUAUUAGUUAGUUGGUGAGGUAAUGGCUCACCAAGACAAUGAUACAUAGCCGAGUUGAGAGACUGACCGGCCACAAUGGGACUGAGACACGGCCCAUACUCCUACGGGAGGCAGCAGUAGGGAAUCUUCCACAAUGGACGAAAGUCUGAUGGAGCAACGCCGCGUGUGUGAUGAAGGGUUUCGGCUCGUAAAACACUGUUGUAAGAGAAGAAUGACAUUGAGAGUAACUGUUCAAUGUGUGACGGUAUCUUACCAGAAAGGAACGGCUAAAUACGUG